CAGAAGUCAGGUCGGAUUAAGCCAUAGUACGGAAAAAACUAUGCUACCUGUGAGCCCCGUCCAAGGACGUAAAAAGAAGUCAGGCCACUACAAGUGCCAUAGCUUGAGUAAACUAUGCAGCCUGUAGCUCCACCUGAG
Molecule: long non-coding RNA, 138 nt
Filed under: dengue virus type 2
Lineage: Riboviria; Orthornavirae; Kitrinoviricota; Flasuviricetes; Amarillovirales; Flaviviridae
Description: Dengue virus type 2 partial sfRNA1
Source: RNAcentral